UACGUAUGGUGCAAGCGUUAUCCGGAUUUACUGGGUGUAAAGGGAGCGUAGGCGGCGCGUUAAGUCUGAUGUGAAAACCCGAAGCUCAACCACGGGAGUGCAUUGGAAACUGGCGGGCUGGAGUGCCGGAGAGGUAAGCGGAAUUCCUAGUGUAGCGGUGAAAUGCGUAGAUAUUAGGAGGAACACCAGUGGCGAAGGCGGCUUACUGGACGGCAACUGACGCUGAGGCUCGAAAGCGUGGGGAGCAAACAGG
RNAcentral lists this ribosomal RNA (253 nucleotides) under uncultured bacterium. RNAcentral describes it as "partial 16S ribosomal RNA". It matches the Rfam family "Bacterial small subunit ribosomal RNA", at positions 524 to 776 of the family's 1533-position model. The record is from RNAcentral.